This 215-nucleotide long non-coding RNA is filed under the name Anas platyrhynchos platyrhynchos (common mallard). RNAcentral's name for it is "lncRNA (ENSAPLG00000028482.1)". Lineage: Eukaryota; Metazoa; Chordata; Aves; Anseriformes; Anatidae. The record is from RNAcentral.
AAGAAGUGAUUAAUUUCCUUCUACUAUUCUUCCAAGGAAUACUAGUGAAACAUUUUAACUUUUAUUUUGUUUUUAUUUCUCUUUUAAGAGGCAUGAGGCAUGACAUGGACCCAGCAAAACCAUCAAAAAUGUCAAUCAUGAUGCUUAUACUACCAUAUGCAAUUGUGACACCAGUGAAGAUAAUGAAAAUGCUCCCAUUAGUACCAAUUUUGUAG